This 1798-nucleotide long non-coding RNA is filed under the name Canis lupus familiaris (dog). RNAcentral's name for it is "lncRNA (ENSCAFG00845007344.1)". The record is from RNAcentral. Lineage: Eukaryota; Metazoa; Chordata; Mammalia; Carnivora; Canidae.
AAUGUUUUGGUAUUGACUUUCUCAAUUUUGUUGUCUUUCUUUAAAAAGUGUUGAAGUUCAUUUUGGCAGUGACUGGUGGAUCAGCUUGAUCAUUUUAAGGCUUGUUUUCAAGCUUUGUCACUGUAGGUCUAGAGUGGCCUUUACCACUAAGGUAUGAAUCACUAAGGCAUGACUAUUCUUGGGCAUCUAAGGAAUUUCCUGGGUGUUUGUUAAAAUCUCUCUACUCUUGCUGCUCAAAACUCAAACUCCCUUGUCAGUUCUGGGGAUUAUUUGGUGUGCAACUCUCUAUUUUAGCCGUUGGCUAGGCAAGUAGGGUUUUAACCUACAUUCAGAAGUCACAGCAGGUUAGGGUUUAGCAAAUAGUCUUAAGGGGAUACAUAUGCAUAUUUCUGGAGCGCUUUUUCUAUACACCAACCUCGUCUCUAGAUCUCUGUCCUAUGACUUCCAGAUGCCUCAGUUUCACUGAAUUCUGAUCAUCAUCUCCUUAACUCUAUUUUGCCAUACUAUCCUUUACCUUUCCUUCUUCUGCUGUAAUCCAGAAAGUACCUCAAGGCAGAAAGCAAGAACAAGUGCGGUUUUCACUUCAGUUGCUUCCUUUAUCUUAGUGAUCACAUUUCUGAGCUUCCUAUUAUUCCACAUCUAAAAAUCAGCUAUUUAAUACAGUUUGUCUAGUUUUCUAGUUGUUUAGAAUUCAAGGAUAAGUUUGGUAACAGUUACUCUAACAUGGUUGGAGUGUUAAGAUAAAGAACUGUUCUUGAAUUCAAGAAGAUUCUACUUAGAAUUCCAGUUCUUCAAUUUACUAGCUGUGAUCACUGUAUAGAUACAUAACUUUUCCUUACCUCAGUUUACUCAUCUAUAAAAUUGAGAUUAUGGGUCCUGCCACAUAGGAUGGUUGUAAGGAUGACUUGAUCUAAACUCCUUUCUUCCCUACUUCUUUCCCAACCUCUUUCUCUCCCUUUCUCCUCCCAUCUUCCCUCCUUGCCUACCUUCCACAAAUAUUCUCCAGGGGUUGAGAAUCAGUAAUAGAAGACAAGCCCCUGCCUACACCUGAGUUUAUCUUCUGAUGAGGAUAAAUAUGGGAACAAACAUAUACAAAAGAUAUUUCAGAUAGAUAAAAUUUCUAUGAAGGAAUAAAACAGUGAUGAGAUCAGACAAUGACUAAGGAGAAUAGCUUUAUAUAUGACCCUCAGGAAAGCCCUUUCUGAGUAGCUAACAAGACCUGAACAAGAACUUGUCAAGAGCAUUCCAUGCAGAGGGAUCAGCAAUGCAAAAGAACAGAGGUGAGAAUUGCACAUUUAUUACAGAAACUAAAGGCCACUGUGAAUGAAGCAAAACAAAAGAGGGUAACAGUGGUACAAGGUAAACUUGGAGACAUAGGUAGGGAGGGCGCAAUUCACAUGAGUCUUUUAAGCCAAAGUUAAAGCUUAUUUUAAGUGUCAUGGAAACCCAUCACAGAGGCUUUAUUGGUUUUUUUGUUUGUUUAUUAGCAAAAGAAUGAUAAUAAAAUAUGAUUUUUAAACAAUAUUAUUCCAUUUCCUUUAUGAAAAUGCUUAAUAGUGUUAUAUUUUUAAAAGCCUGUUAAUAAAAUUUCAUUUGAAUUUCACCAAUAUUAUCAAGUAGAUAUGAUAUGCUAUGUGGUCGUUUGGGGAAGAGAAAUAGGUAAGAUUUUUUUCUGCCUGAAUGUCAAAAUCCUAUUUAGAAGUUAGUCAUAUGCUUGUAUAUAAGUAACUAUAGCUAUUUUCUUACCACUACUGAGCAGAGAAACAGAAAAUCUUCAGUGAGAUAAAAAUUGAUGCUA